This 68-nucleotide transfer RNA is filed under the name Marmota monax (woodchuck). RNAcentral describes it as "tRNA.Ala". Lineage: Eukaryota; Metazoa; Chordata; Mammalia; Rodentia; Sciuridae. The record is from RNAcentral.
GCUGGGGCUCAGUGGUAGAGUGCUUGCCUAGCAUGUGUGAGGCACUGGGUUCAAUUCUCAGCACCGCA